GCUGCCGGGCCGCCCACCGUCGCCACAGCGCUCUGCCCCCGGGUAUGGGUUGUCAAGGCCAGCCCGGUUACGCCCCUCGAUGCCCGCGGGUGGUUCGCCCUCUACCCCGGCGCGCGGGCAGGGCCUUCUCCGGAUUUAUUUCAGAUUCCAUGAUGGUCUGGUGGAAGAUGAGAAGAGACCCAAAGUCCUGAACUGGCUCAUCUCUCAUUUCCAUGGCAGGGGGAGGCUGAGAAGGGCAGGGGAAAGUAUGAAUCCAGUUUUCCACCAAAAAACAGUGCAGCUAAGGAUACUACUUGGUUUCACCUAUGCCAAAAGAAUAUUUGGAGUACCAAAUAAGAGUAUCCCUAAAUUGCUGAGUCUCAUGAGUUGCUGAAGCUAGCCUUUGAAUUUAGGAUCAUCCUGCUGCAUUCUGCCUCAGGCUUCUAAGUCACUGGGAUUACAGUUGUUGAUGGACCUCUUUACUUUAUUCA
Marmota flaviventris (yellow-bellied marmot) is the source of this 470-nucleotide non-coding RNA. The record is from RefSeq and is a predicted model, not a curated record. Lineage: Eukaryota; Metazoa; Chordata; Mammalia; Rodentia; Sciuridae.